GACGAACGCUGGCGGCGUGCUUAACACAUGCGAGUCGAACGGAAAGGCCCUGCUUUUGUGGGGUGCUCGAGUGGCGAACGGGUGAGUAACACGUGAGUAACCUGCCCUUGACUUUGGGAUAACUUCAGGAAACUGGGGCUAAUACCGGAUAGGAGCUCCUGCUGCUUGGUGGGGGUUGGAAAGUUUCGGCGGUUGGGGAUGGACUCGCGGCUUAUCAGCUUGUUGGUGGGGUAGUGGCUUACCAAGGCUUUGACGGGUAGCCGGCCUGAGAGGGUGACCGGCAUCAUUGGGACUGAGGUACGGCCCAGACUCCUACGGGAGGCAGCAGUGGGGAAUAUUGCACAAUAGGCGGAAGCCUGAUGCAGCAACGCCGCGUGCGGGAUGACGGCCUUCGGGUUGUAAACCGCUUUCGCCUGUGACGAAGCGUGAGUGACGGUAAUGGGUAAAGAAGCACCGGCUAACUACGUG
Molecule: ribosomal RNA, 468 nt
Filed under: uncultured bacterium
Lineage: Bacteria
Description: partial 16S ribosomal RNA
Rfam family: Bacterial small subunit ribosomal RNA
Source: RNAcentral